CGGGUGAGUAACACGUGGAUAACCUACCUAUAAGACUGGGAUAACUUCGGGAAACCGGAGCUAAUACCGGAUAAUAUAUUGAACCGCAUGGUUCAAUAGUGAAAGACGGUUUUGCUGUCACUUAUAGAUGGAUCCGCGCCGCAUUAGCUAGUUGGUAAGGUAAUGGCUUACCAAGGCAACGAUGCGUAGCCGACCUGAGAGGGUGAUCGGCCACACUGGAACUGAGACACGGUCCAGACUCCUACGGGAGGCAGCAGCC
RNAcentral lists this ribosomal RNA (259 nucleotides) under uncultured Staphylococcus sp. Its description in RNAcentral is "partial 16S ribosomal RNA". It matches the Rfam family "Bacterial small subunit ribosomal RNA", at positions 103 to 355 of the family's 1533-position model. The record is from RNAcentral. Lineage: Bacteria; Bacillati; Bacillota; Bacilli; Caryophanales; Staphylococcaceae.